Molecule: ribosomal RNA, 440 nt
Filed under: uncultured bacterium
Lineage: Bacteria
Description: partial 16S ribosomal RNA
Rfam family: Bacterial small subunit ribosomal RNA
Source: RNAcentral
CCUACGGGAGGCAGCAGUGGGGGAUAUUGCACAAUGGGGGGAACCCUGAUGCAGCGACGCCGCGUGGGUGAAGAAGCGCCUCGGCGCGUAAAGCCCUGUCAACAGGGAAGAAAAUGACGGUACCUGAAGAAGAAGCCCCGGCUAACUACGUGCCAGCAGCCGCGGUAAUACGUAGGGGGCAAGCGUGAUCCGGAUUUACUGGGUGGAAAGGGGGCGCAGACGGCGAUGCAAGCCAGGAGUGAAAGCCCGGGGCCCAACCCCGGGACUGCUCUUGGCACUGCGUGGCUGGAGUGCAGGAGGGGCAGGCGGAAUGCCUGGUGUAGCGGUGAAAUGCGUAGAUAUCAGGAGGAACACCGGUGGCGAAGGCGGCCUGCUGGACUGCAACUGACGUUGAGGCCCGAAAGCGUGGGGAGCAAACAGGAUUAGAUACCCGUGUAGUC